This 501-nucleotide ribosomal RNA is filed under the name uncultured bacterium. Its description in RNAcentral is "partial 16S ribosomal RNA". It matches the Rfam family "Bacterial small subunit ribosomal RNA", at positions 899 to 1397 of the family's 1533-position model. The record is from RNAcentral.
ACUCAAAGGAAUAGACGGGGACCUGCACAAGCGGUGGAGCAUGCGGUUUAAUUCGAUGAUACGCGAAAAACCUUACCAAUUCUUGACAUAUACACUAUGAUUGCCAGAGAUGGCGUCUUCAGUUCGGCUGGGUGUAAACAGGUGUUGCAUGGCCGUCGUCAGCUCGUGUCGUGAGAUGUUGGGUUAAGUCCCGCAACGAGCGCAACCCCUACCUCAUUUUGCCAACGGGUUAUGCUGGGAACUAUUGAGGGACUGCUGGUGUUAAACCAGAGGAAGGUGGGGAUGACGUCAGGUCAUCACGGCCCUUAUGAAUUGGGCUACACGCGUGCUACAAUGGUAUUUACAAAGAGUUGCGAUACCGCAAGGUGGAGCUAAUCUCAAAAAGAAUAUCUCAGUUCGGAUUGGACUCUGAAACUCGAGUCCAUGAAGCUGGAAUCGCUAGUAAUCGUGGGUCAGCAUACCACGGUGAAUACGUUCUCAGGUCUUGUACACACCGCCCGU